AGUGAACGUAUCAUUGAAGUAUCCUCAAGAAAAAGACUAUUCAUAAUGGCAUAGUACUCUAUAGUCAUUAAACAAACAUCAAAUCGCAUAGCAAAGAGUCAAAAAAAUAGAGAGCUUUGCGAGACCUACCAAGGGUGAAGAGAUACCAUCCAAGGAGCUGAAGAGAAAUCUCACUUUAGACGCCUGGGGAACUCGGACUAAAUUAAAAAA
Molecule: non-coding RNA, 210 nt
Filed under: unclassified sequences
Description: IMES-1 RNA motif
Rfam family: IMES-1 RNA motif (bases 58-206)
Source: Rfam by way of RNAcentral